Neopsephotus bourkii (Bourke's parrot) is the source of this 371-nucleotide long non-coding RNA. RefSeq lists it as uncharacterized. The record is from RefSeq and is a predicted model, not a curated record. The transcript is spliced from 2 exons. NCBI's taxonomy places the organism in Eukaryota, Metazoa, Chordata, Aves, Psittaciformes, Psittacidae.
GUUCCAGCUUACGAAAAGCAUGAUGCACCUCGGCAAAGGCAGCUCACGCUGUUUACUCCUUGUGCUGGAGGAGACAGCGGAAAACCGGGGCUGGCUCCGGUUCCCUGCUCUCCUCUCCGGUGUCACCCUGCCCAGCUGGGUUGAGCGCUGGGGACACUUUGCCUCGAAGGAGAUCAGCACAAGGAGGAUGAAGGAAUCCGAGAUGGUCGUGGGAGCCACCACACGGAAGCGGAUGGCAUCCUGAGCCAGCCAGAAGGGCUUCUCUGGCAUCUCGUGCUGGUAGAAAAUCAACCUGCUGUCCACCUAGGAGCAAAGAAAACCUCCAUGAGCUCUGCCGAAGGGUAAAAUACAGACCCGUGUGGAAAACAGUG